RNAcentral lists this non-coding RNA (116 nucleotides) under Arthrobacter sp. RNAcentral describes it as "SAM-IV sequence". It matches the Rfam family "SAM (S-adenosyl methionine) riboswitch aptamer". Rfam says of the family: SAM-IV is a mRNA element that regulates gene expression via direct sensing of S-adenosylmethionine (SAM or AdoMet). Lineage: Bacteria; Bacillati; Actinomycetota; Actinomycetes; Micrococcales; Micrococcaceae. The record is from RNAcentral.
GGUCAUGAGUGCCAGCGCCAAGCCCCGGCUCGCUGGCCGGCAACCCUCCUUACGCGGUGGGGUGCCCCGGGUGAAGACCUGGCUGCCCGGCGCCCGCCGGACGGCAAGCGCGGCGC